RNAcentral lists this ribosomal RNA (1687 nucleotides) under Drosophila miranda. Its description in RNAcentral is "SSU rRNA". It matches the Rfam family "Eukaryotic small subunit ribosomal RNA". The record is from RNAcentral. Lineage: Eukaryota; Metazoa; Arthropoda; Insecta; Diptera; Drosophilidae.
AUUCUUGUUGAUCCUGCCAGUAGUUAUAUGCUUGUACACACGAAUUAAAAGUGAAACCGCAAAAGGCUCAUUAUAUCAGUUAUGGUUCCUUAGAUCGUUAGCAGUUACUUGGAUAGCUGUGGUAAUUCAGAGCUAAUACAUGCAAUUAAAACACGGACCUUAUGGGACGUGUGCUUUUAUUAGGCUAAAACCAAGCGUUCGCAAGAGCGUUACAUUGGUUGAACUCUAGAUAGCAUGCAGAUCGUAUGGUCUUGUACCGACGACAGAUCUUUCAAAUGUCUGCCCCAUCAACUUUUGUUGGUAGUAUCUAGGACUACCAUGGUUGCAACGGGUAACGGGGAAUCAGGGUUCGAUUCCGGAGAGGAAGCCUGAGAAACGGCUACCACAUCUAAGGAAGGCAGCAGGCGUGUAUGUAAGCAUAUUACCGGUGGAGUUCUUAUAUAUAAUUAAGUACUUGUAUUUUUUUAUAUAUUCCUCCUAUUUAAAAACCUGCAUUAGUGCUCUUCAUCGAGUGUUAUUGUGGGCCGGUACAAUUACUUUGAACAAAUUAGAGUGCUUAAAGCAGGUCAAAUGCCUGAAUAUUCUGUGCAUGGGAUAAUGAAAUAAGACCUCUGUUCUGCUUUCAUUGGUUUUCAGAUCAAGAGGUAAUGAUUAAUAGAAGCAGUUUGGGGGCAUUAGUAUUACGACGCGAGAGGUGAAAUUCUUGGACUGUCGUAAGACUAACUUAAGCGAGGCAUUUGCCAAGAUGUUUUCAUUAAUCAAUCAAGAACGAAAGUUAGAGGUUCGAAGGCGAUCAGAUACCGCCCUAGUUCUAACCAUAAACGAUGCCAGCUAGCAAUUGGGUGUAGCUACUUUUAUGGCUCUCUCAGUAGCUUCCCGGGAAACCAAAGCUUUUGGGCUCCGGGGGAAGUAUGGUUGCAAAGCUGAAACUUACAGGAAUUGAGGGAAGGGCACCACCAGGAGUGGAGCCUGCGGCUUAAUUUGACUCAACACGGGAAAACUUACCAGGUCCGAACAUAAGUGUGUAAGACAGAUUGAUAGCUCUUUCUCGAACCUAUGGGUGGUGGUGCAUGGCCGUUCUUAGUUCGUGGAGUGAUUUGUCUGGUUAAUUCCGAUAACGAACGAGACUCAAAUGUAUUAAAUAGAAAUCUUCAGGAUUAUGGAUUAUAUAGCCUUCAUUCAUGGUGGCAGUAAAAUGUUUAUUGUGUUUGAAUGUGUUUAUAUAAGUGGAGCCGUACCUGUCGGUUUGUCCCAUUAUAAGAACACUAGCUUCUUAAAUGGACAAAUUGCGUCUAGCAAUAAUGAGAUUGAGCAAUAACAGGUCUGUGAUGCCCUUAGAUGUCCUGGGCUGCACGCGCGCUACAAUGAAAGUAUCAACGUGUAUUUCCUAGACCGAGAGGUCCGGGUAAACCGCUGAACCACUUUCAUGCUUGGGAUUGUGAACUGAAACUGUUCACAUGAACUUGGAAUUCCCAGUAAGUGUGAGUCAUUAACUCGCAUUGAUUACGUCCCUGCCCUUUGUACACACCGCCCGUCGCUACUACCGAUUGAAUUAUUUAGUGAGGUCUCCGGACGUGAUCACUGUGACGCCUUGCGUGUUAUGGUUGUUUCGCAAAAGUUGACCGAACUUGAUUAUUUAGAGGAAGUAAAAGUCGUAACAAGGUUUCCGUAGGUGAACCUGCGGAAG